AGGACAAACGCUGGCGGCGUACUUAAGACAUGUAAGUCGAACGGGCGCUUCACCUUCGGGUGGGUGUGCUAGUGGCGGACGGGUGAGUAACGCGUAGGAACCUGUCAUCAAGAGGGGGGAUAACGCUGGGAAACCGGCGCUAAUACCGCAUGUGGUCAUGAAAAUGAAGAAAGCAGCAAUGCGCUUGAUGAGGGGGCCUGCGUCCGAUUAGCUUGUUGGUGGGGUAAAGGCCUACCAAGGCAUCGAUCGGUAGCUGGUCUGAGAGGAUGGUCAGCCACACUGGGACUGAGACACGGCCCAGACUCCUACGGGAGGCAGCAGUUAGGAAAUUUUCCCAAUGGGCGCAAGCCUGAGGGAGUAACGCCGCGUGGAGGAUGACGGCUUUCGGGUUGUAAACUCCUUUUCUGUGGGAGAGUAGAGACGGUACCGCAGGAAUAGCCUCGGCUAACUACGCGCCAGCAGCCGC
RNAcentral lists this ribosomal RNA (466 nucleotides) under uncultured bacterium. RNAcentral describes it as "SSU rRNA". It matches the Rfam family "Bacterial small subunit ribosomal RNA", at positions 26 to 518 of the family's 1533-position model. The record is from RNAcentral.